This 850-nucleotide long non-coding RNA is filed under the name Callithrix jacchus (white-tufted-ear marmoset). Its description in RNAcentral is "lncRNA (ENSCJAG00000081854.1)". The record is from RNAcentral. Lineage: Eukaryota; Metazoa; Chordata; Mammalia; Primates; Cebidae.
AUAUAUGUACACAUAUAUAUAUAAAUAUAUAUAUAUAUAAAACAUAUAUAUGUACACAUACACACACACACACACACAUAUAAGUACUAGACGUUUUCAGAAAGGGAGAGAUAAAAUGAAACUGGUGUUUUUGGAGAGAUAGUUGUCCUGUGGUUUGGAGUGUGGUAUAAAUAGACACCUGAGAUUGGAGUCCAGGACAGCGGGUAGGAAACUAUUACAGUAGCUUAUUCACAAACUGGUAAGGGCCUGAGCCAGGGUAAUGGUGAGGGGAGAGGAAAGCUUGGGCAGGAGACAUGAAAGAAAUGCCAAAACCUGUGACUGAGUGGGUUAGAAGAACAACAGAGACCGAAAAAUGUUCACCCCUUCAACAACAUUUAUAAACACCAUCUGGAUGCCAUCCAUUGUUUGGAUCCAAAUAUGGAGAGUCAAAUCACAUUUCCUAACUUCAAAAAGUACAUCGUGUAAUGAAAAAUGAGAGCAAAUAAACAAAUGCUUAAAAUAGGAUGUGAUGACAACUCCAUGCAGGAACACAGUAUAAAAGCAGUGCAUGGAAUGGGGCAUGUACAUCAGGAAAGGAGUUUAAUGUUAGGUUCUUCUAGAAGCCAACUCAAAGAUUUCACUUCGAGUAAAAGAUGGGUGCUACUCUUCCCAAGGCAAAACCACCCUUAAAGUGGAUCCUGGAUAACUGUGACCAAUUUGACCCAUGAUCUUUGAAGAAGAAGUGGCUCAUUUUUCUCUGCCAAACAGCGUGGCCAUGAUAUCCUCUGCUGAGUGAAGAAACCUGGCCUCCUAAGGGAAGUAUAAAUUAUAACACCCUUCUACAAUUAGACCUAUUCUGUAAGAGGGAAGG